RNAcentral lists this transfer RNA (61 nucleotides) under Ictidomys tridecemlineatus (thirteen-lined ground squirrel). Its description in RNAcentral is "Spermophilus tridecemlineatus (thirteen-lined ground squirrel) tRNA". It matches the Rfam family "tRNA", at positions 6 to 65 of the family's 71-position model. From Rfam's summary of the family: Transfer RNA (tRNA) molecules are approximately 80 nucleotides in length. Their secondary structure includes four short double-helical elements and three loops (D, anti-codon, and T loops). Lineage: Eukaryota; Metazoa; Chordata; Mammalia; Rodentia; Sciuridae. The record is from Rfam by way of RNAcentral.
UGUGGCUCAGUAGUAGAGCACUUGCCUAGCACGUAUGAGGCCCUGGGUUCAAUUCUCAGUA